Molecule: RNA transcript, 2852 nt
Organism: Daucus carota subsp. sativus
Lineage: Eukaryota; Viridiplantae; Streptophyta; Magnoliopsida; Apiales; Apiaceae
Gene name: polyadenylate-binding protein 2
Exons: 6
Source: RefSeq, a predicted model, not a curated record
AAAAUUAAGAAAAAAUUAAGAAGUAUCGACACCUCGCUACAUUGUAAUCGUCAUGGAAAUUAAAUCCCCUAGCAUGAUAAUGAUGGAUGAGAGCGAUGAAUUGACGUUCAGAGUUAACUUCAAUGGCGAUCGACUCUCCAACUUACAACAUUUAAUCAAAGAUAAGCUCAAGGACUUUAUGGGUGAUUACACUGACGACACUCUCGUGGAAUAUGUUAUUGUCUUGCUUAAAAACGGCAGGCGAAAAGUAGAAGCAAAGAAAGAGUUGUGGGAUCAUUUAGAAAAGCAUUUAGAUCUCUAUGUGCGACCCAGCAAUGCAUGUGAAGGUGCCACAACCAAACCCACAUUUAGAGAGCAGCCUACAAAAAUAGAUACGCAUCACAUGGAUGCUGAACAGGAAAGACAAAAACCAAAUAAAUUAUCUAGAAGCAGACUUGGCGGGCAGUGGAAAGGCAUAGUAAAGGAUGCAGUUGAACCCCUCCACUUCGCAGCAUGGUGACCUCAAAUACACUUGUGGAUGAAGAUGCUCACAUCAAAGAUGAUCAUCUAAAAGUAUCACUGCAGUCUCGGCCAAUACUGCAGAGGAAAAGGCACCGGCCUGAUGAGAGGAACCCAAUGAAGGCUAUACCUGCUGCUGAAAGUGAGAAGGUAUCUCAAAAGUCAUUGGCAUCCAUUGUUGGUACAAAUCAGCUGGUGAUGUGUCGCCAUGUCAGCAUGAUUCAGCGGGUGAUGUGUCAUUAAUUCAGCAAGAUUCUAACGUCUGUUAGAAUCUAUCUAACGGAAGGACUAGAUUCAAGCGUUUGGAAAAGUUAAAUGACCCGGUUUGAGGAAUCUUUUGUUUAGGGACCUAUCGAAUAAAAGUGGAUUAGUUUAGGGACGUGUGAAUAUAUUAUCCCAAAUAAAAACAAAGAAGUUAAACUAAUGCAGAAUUACAUAUAGUUAUAUUUGUAAUAUAAUUAAACAAAUGUUAGCUAUUUAUCAAACAAUUAACAAAACAUAAUAUAAAAUUAUGUAUUAAUGUAUGUAUUAUAUAUAGAUAUAUGUUUUUCCAAAGUAUAAAUUCUGUAAUGUACAUUAAACUAUAACACGAUGAAAAAUUAUUUUAUCUUAGUAAUUAAUAUAUUAUAUUUAAAAUUUAACCUAUAUAUUUAUAUGUAUGGCCUAUUUUCUGAAUUUGGGUUAGGGCCUUAGUUUUGAUUGAGACAGCCCUGCUUGGAAUAUGGUUUCCAAAGCCUGCAGACAGGACUUUAUAUUCUAUGCUUUGUAGGUUGGUAAAUUAGGAUUAGUGUUAUCGAAAGCAUUAAGCGCACCGAGGUGAAAAACUCUCUGGAGCCUAGGCGCAAAGCGCAAAAGCGAGGCGCAUGUUUUACAAAUUUUUUUAUUUAUUAUUUAGGAUAUAUGUAUAUAGGUUUAUAACAUAAUUUAAACUUCAUAAUAUAUUAAAUCACACUAUAAGCCAAAAAUAACUUAAUUUAUCCUUUAUAAUAUAUUAAAUGAUACUUUUAGAGGGAAAAACAAUCCUAAAACUAUAUAUUAAAAUUCAAUCCUAAGAAAAGCAGGUCUCCUCCUCCUCCUCUAAUAAACGUCGAGGCCUCUUACCUUUGCUCUGUUUUGAACUUGAAGGAUUGGGGUUAUUUUGAACCCUAUUAGACUUAGAGGCUGAUUUUGAUUGCGACCUGGAUUUAUAUGCAGGCUCUUUAGCACCUGAAGCUUUUUCAACUAUUGACCAAUUUAGUCCAUCGUCAUCGGAGAAGAUGAAAGCUGAGCGCCUGAUAUAGCCUUUUUAUUUGGGCCUAAAAUUCUUUUUUUUGUUAUGGGUUGGUACUUUUAGGCCUUAAAAGUGUCCCAAAAUUCUUUUUUUUUCUUAUGGGUUAGUACUUUUGGGCCUUAAAAGUGGCCCAAUAACAUUAAAUAACUUAUUAUGUGCUUAGCUUCGCUAAAGCGCGCUUUUCUACCGCUUCGUGCUUAAGUGCGCUUUUUGCUUCAAGGCUAAAAGCGUGCGCUUCAUUGAAGUUGCUUCGCCUCGACAUAUAUGAGGCGCUAAGGGUGCGCUUUGCUUCGCUCUGCGCUUAGGCGCGCUUUUCACAACACUGAUUAGGAUUAUAGAAGUUCUAGCAUUUGUAAUUGUAGCAAUUGAAUAAGAUCUUAAGGAGAUGAACAUAGUAGUCCCAGUAGGUCUUGUUGGUGUCCCGGUCCGGAAGAAUGUCUCUGAAACAAGUGAAAAGAACAUCAGGCGUACACUUUAUCAUAUUCUUCCCUUUGAUGUAAUUAUGGGAAAAUAUGAGUGAAGUGUAAAUUGUGUAAUUUUAGUUAAUGUGUGAGACCAUAAUACACGACUUCAAAAAGAAUCUUGUGCUAUACUGUAGUUUCAUUUUUGUUAUUACGUGUAUUUUCAUUAAAAAUUCCACAGACAGAAUGGUCAUUUGAUAAGUAUCAUCUUCUUCUUUGAAUGUAAGUCUGUCACUAAAAAAAUUAGCUACUCACUAAGUAUAUAGUGAGUAGCUAAUUUGUAAUGUAGCAGAUUAUUAUUGUUAUUAUUAUUGAAACAGUGUCGUGUUAUUGUUCUCUUGCCUGAGUAUUAUUCCUGGGAAGUUGUCCCAAAACUCUUGUCUUAAAUCCUUGGGGAUAUAUGAAUUAGUGUACCCAUCAUACUUUCUGUAUGUUUUCAUCCUUUCUUAAGGAUAUUUGCUUUAUUGUGUGCAGGUGUAUCUUCAAGUGGUCAUCUCGAAGAUGCAAAUUCACGGACUAUAUAUUGUUAGCAAUGUUCAUUUUGCUGCUACCAAAGAUAGUCUUUUGCAGCACUUCAACAAGUUUGGAGAUGUUCUAAAAGUGAUUAUUGUAACAGAUGCAAC